Molecule: ribosomal RNA, 133 nt
Filed under: uncultured bacterium
Lineage: Bacteria
Description: partial 16S ribosomal RNA
Rfam family: Bacterial small subunit ribosomal RNA
Source: RNAcentral
UGAGGAAUAUUGGACAAUGGAGGCAACUCUGAUCCAGCCAUGCCGCGUGCAGGAAGACUGCCCUAUGGGUUGUAAACUGCUUUUAUACAGGAAGAAACACUCGGACGUGUCCGAGCUUGACGGUACUGUAAGA